CGCCGUCAUACCAUCGGCGUACAGGUGACCCCACCAGCCUGAGACACCGGGCACGGAAAUCACCGUUAAACGUACAUAAUGCGAAUGAGAGCAGACCUACCUUGUGAACGGCGUCAUGGUGGCACCCCAUGUCGGGUGCUGCAGGUUAGAGCACAGACCAUCGUACCGCCGGUACUUCCCAGGGCGGCACUCCACGUUGGCCAGGAACGGCGGACACACUUCCCUUAUAAGUGUCUUGGACGUGUCGAUGAGGGGAAGCCCCUUUUCGAUGUCUUCAUAGCUCAGGCCGUACCUGCGGGUGACAGGAAACGUGAAAACCUGCCUGACAGUUUUCUACUUACAAUGAGGUCAGCGUAGCCGUAUCGCAGCUUACUAUUUCGGAAGAACGAUGUUCGAGUCCCGGUCGAAGAAGCAGCAAUUCUAAUACAGG
Molecule: non-coding RNA, 430 nt
Organism: Zootermopsis nevadensis
Lineage: Eukaryota; Metazoa; Arthropoda; Insecta; Blattodea; Termopsidae
Source: RefSeq, a predicted model, not a curated record